GGCCGCGGGAAUUCGAUUGGAUCGCCCUUAGAGUUUGAUCAUGGCUCAGAACAAACGCUGGCGGCGUGCCUAACACAUGCAAGUCGUACGAGAAAGUCCGCUUCGGUGGAUGAGUAAAGUGGCGCACGGGUGAGUAACGCGUGGAUAAUCUACCCUUUAGUCUGGAAUAACUUAUCGAAAGGUGAACUAAUACCGGAUAAUAUCCCGAUUUCUUCGGCGAUCGGGAUCAAAGAAGGCCUCUGCUUGCAAGCUUUCACUGAAGGAUGAGUCCGCGUACCAUUAGCUAGUUGGCAGGGUAAUGGCCUACCAAGGUUAUGAUGGUUAGCUGGUCUGAGAGGAUGAUCAGCCACACUGGAACUGAAACACGGUCCAGACUCCUACGGGAGGCAGCAGUGAGGAAUAUUGCGCAAUGGGGGCAACCCUGACGCAGCAACGCCGCGUGAGUGAGGAAGGUUUUCGGAUUGUAAAGCUCUGUCGAGCGGAAAGAAGUGCAUGGUGGUUAAUAUCCAUCAUGCUUGACGGUACCGCUAAAGGAAGCACCGGCUAACUCCGUGCCAGCAGCCGCGGUAAUACGGGGGGUGCAAGCGUUGUUCGGAAUCAUUGGGCGUAAAGCGCGUGUAGGCGGCUGGACAAGUCAGAUGUGAAAGCCCUGGGCUUAACCCAGGAAGUGCAUUUGAAACUGUUCAGCUAGAGUAAGGGAGAGGAAAGUGGAAUUCCUGGUGUAGAGGUGAAAUUCGUAGAUAUCAGGAGGAACACCGGUGGCGAA
RNAcentral lists this ribosomal RNA (766 nucleotides) under uncultured bacterium. RNAcentral describes it as "partial 16S ribosomal RNA". It matches the Rfam family "Bacterial small subunit ribosomal RNA", at positions 1 to 719 of the family's 1533-position model. The record is from RNAcentral.